GCGAGUUGCAAAACUCCCAAACCAUUGCGAACCUACCUAUCGUUGCCUCGCCGCCGGCCUCGCGCCAGCGGCGGCGGCCCCCCAAACUCUUGUUUUUAUAGGCCUCUCUGAGUACACUUAUAACAAGUCA
This 130-nucleotide unclassified non-coding RNA is filed under the name uncultured Ascomycota. Its description in RNAcentral is "sequence contains ITS1". The record is from RNAcentral. Lineage: Eukaryota; Fungi; Ascomycota.